CACGCAGGCGGUUGGAUAAGUUAGAUGUGAAAGCCCCGGGCUCAACCUGGGAAUUGCAUUUAAAACUGUCCAGCUAGAGUCUUGUAGAGGGGGGUAGAAUUCCAGGUGUAGCGGUGAAAUGCGUAGAGAUCUGGAGGAAUACCGGUGGCGAAGGCGACUGUCUGGAUACAUACUGACGCUCAGGUACGAAAGCGUGGGGAGCAAACA
This 207-nucleotide ribosomal RNA is filed under the name uncultured bacterium. RNAcentral describes it as "partial 16S ribosomal RNA". It matches the Rfam family "Bacterial small subunit ribosomal RNA", at positions 568 to 774 of the family's 1533-position model. The record is from RNAcentral.